AGCUUAUGAGGAUAGAUUCAUUAAUACGGGCUUCAAAGAUUGGAAAUUUUUUUCUGAGGGUUGUGGCAAACAUGAAGCCAGCAGGGCACAUGCUGCAGCGUUGGGGAAAAUGGAUGGUUUCAAGCAAAGUCACCAGCCAGGACGGGGAAAUAUUAUUAACCAGCUGAACAACGAUGCCAGCGACAAGUCCUUAAUUGAUAGACAUAGACAGCACAUCAUGAUGGUUAUAACUUGUAACUUCUUCAGCUGUGUCAGAUUCAAUGCUGCUGUUAUUUCAUGUCGAUACAGUUCUUCUUGUCAUUCUGAAUUUAUAAGAAACAAUUAAAUAAUUUUGGACAGUUCCCUGCCCGCCGUGUUGUGUAAAUAAAUGGAGAGAGAAACAGAACCUCCAAAGAUAUAA
Molecule: long non-coding RNA, 400 nt
Organism: Carassius carassius (crucian carp)
Lineage: Eukaryota; Metazoa; Chordata; Actinopteri; Cypriniformes; Cyprinidae
Exons: 2
Source: RefSeq, a predicted model, not a curated record